RNAcentral lists this ribosomal RNA (629 nucleotides) under uncultured bacterium. RNAcentral describes it as "bacterial SSU rRNA". It matches the Rfam family "Bacterial small subunit ribosomal RNA", at positions 120 to 733 of the family's 1533-position model. The record is from RNAcentral.
GGCAACCUGCCUUGGAGAUUGGGAUAACCCCGGGAAACCGGGACUAAUACCGGAUAAUGCAGUAUUUUCUUUGGAAAAUUUUGUUAAAGCGGGCUUCGGCUCGCACUUCAAGAUGGGCCUGCGUCCGAUUAGCUUGUUGGUAAGGUAACGGCUUACCAAGGCUAUGAUCGGUAGCUGGUCUGAGAGGAUGAUCAGCCACACUGGGAUUGAGAUACGGCCCAGACUCCUACGGGAGGCAGCAGUGAGGAAUUUUGCGCAAUGGGCGAAAGCCUGACGCAGCAACGCCGCGUGAUCGAUGACGCUUCUAGGAGUGUAAAGAUCUGUCGUGAGGGAAGAAAAACUUGGAUGUAAAUAAUGUUCAGGCUUGACGGUACCUCACAAGAAAGCACCGGCUAACUUCGUGCCAGCAGCCGCGGUAAUACGAGGGGUGCUAGCGUUGUCCGGAAUAACUGGGCGUAAAGGGUCCGUAGGCGUCUUGCCAAGUUGAUCGUUAAAGCCACCGGCUCAACCGGUGAUCUGCGAUCAAAACUGGUAGGAUAGAAUAUGUGAGAGGAAUGUGGAAUUCCUGGUGUAGCGGUGACAUGCGUAGAUAUCAGGAGGAACACCAAUGGCGAAGGCAGCAUUCUGGC